CCUACGGGGGGCUGCAGUGGGGAAUAUUGGACAAUGGGGGCAACCCUGAUCCAGCCAUGCCGCGUGUGUGAAGAAGGCCCUCGGGUUGUAAAGCACUUUCAGUGAGGAAGAACGCCUGGUGGUUAAUACCCAUCAGGAAAGACAUCACUCACAGAAGAAGCACCGGCUAACUCCGUGCCAGCAGCCGCGGUAAUACGGAGGGUGCGAGCGUUAAUCGGAAUUACUGGGCGUAAAGCGCGCGUAGGUGGCUUGAUAAGCCGGUUGUGAAAGCCCCGGGCUCAACCUGGGAACGGCAUCCGGAACUGUCAAGCUAGAGUGCAGGAGAGGAAGGUAGAAUUCCCGGUGUAGCGGUGAAAUGCGUAGAGAUCGGGAGGAAUACCAGUGGCGAAGGCGGCCUUGUGGACUGACACUGACACUGAGGUGCGAAAGCGUGGGUAGCAAACAGGAUUAGAUACCCGAGUAGUC
RNAcentral lists this ribosomal RNA (465 nucleotides) under Vreelandella stevensii. RNAcentral's name for it is "partial 16S ribosomal RNA". It matches the Rfam family "Bacterial small subunit ribosomal RNA", at positions 338 to 795 of the family's 1533-position model. Lineage: Bacteria; Pseudomonadati; Pseudomonadota; Gammaproteobacteria; Oceanospirillales; Halomonadaceae. The record is from RNAcentral.